GUGAGGAAUAUUGCGCAAUGGAGGCAACUCUGACGCAGCCAUGCCGCGUGCAGGAAGAAGGCGCUACGCGUUGUAAACUGCUUUUAACCGGGAAGAAACCCCAGGACGUGUCCUGGGUUGACGGUACCGGAGGAAUAAGCACCGGCUAACUUCGUGCCAGCAGCCGCGGUAAUACGAAGGGUGCAAGCGUUAUCCGGAUUCAUUGGGUUUAAAGGGUGCGUAGGCGGAGCGUUAAGUCAGUGGUGAAAUCCUGCAGCUUAACUGUAGACUUGCCAUUGAUACUGGCGCUCUUGAGUGCGCUUGAAGUGGGCGGAAUGUGCCGUGUAGCGGUGAAAUGCUUAGAUAUGGCACAGAACACCAAUUGCGAAGGCAGCUCACUAAGGCGAUACUGACGCUGAGGCACGAAAGCGUGGGGAGCAAACAGGAUUAGAAACCCCGGUAGUCC
RNAcentral lists this ribosomal RNA (445 nucleotides) under uncultured bacterium. RNAcentral's name for it is "partial 16S ribosomal RNA". It matches the Rfam family "Bacterial small subunit ribosomal RNA", at positions 354 to 796 of the family's 1533-position model. The record is from RNAcentral.